CCUACGGGUGGCAGCAGUGGGGAAUAUUGGACAAUGGGGGCAACCCUGAUCCAGCCAUGCCGCGUGCGUGAAGAAGGCCCUCGGGUUGUAAAGCACUUUCAGUGAGGAAGAACGCCUGGUGGUUAAUACCCAUCAGGAAAGACAUCACUCACAGAAGAAGCACCGGCUAACUCCGUGCCAGCAGCCGCGGUAAUACGGAGGGUGCGAGCGUUAAUCGGAAUUACUGGGCGUAAAGCGCGCGUAGGUGGCUUGAUAAGCCGGUUGUGAAAGCCCCGGGCUCAACCUGGGAACGGCAUCCGGAACUGUCAAGCUAGAGUGCAGGAGAGGAAGGUAGAAUUCCCGGUGUAGCGGUGAAAUGCGUAGAGAUCGGGAGGAAUACCAGUGGCGAAGGCGGCCUUCUGGACUGACACUGACACUGAGGUGCGAAAGCGUGGGUAGCAAACAGGAUUAGAUACCCGAGUAGUC
RNAcentral lists this ribosomal RNA (465 nucleotides) under Vreelandella stevensii. RNAcentral describes it as "partial 16S ribosomal RNA". It matches the Rfam family "Bacterial small subunit ribosomal RNA", at positions 338 to 795 of the family's 1533-position model. The record is from RNAcentral. Lineage: Bacteria; Pseudomonadati; Pseudomonadota; Gammaproteobacteria; Oceanospirillales; Halomonadaceae.